This is a long non-coding RNA of Salvelinus fontinalis (brook trout), 1138 nucleotides long. RefSeq lists it as uncharacterized. The transcript has 2 exons. The record is from RefSeq and is a predicted model, not a curated record. Lineage: Eukaryota; Metazoa; Chordata; Actinopteri; Salmoniformes; Salmonidae.
UGCGUUAUUGGAAGACAUUGAAAACCGUGAUUUUAGAAGGGAGAGAGUUUUCAGUGAUGGAAUGAAUUUUUGCGCAUGAUGAUCCACGGUUUAUAAAUUGCUAUUGUCUCCCAAGAAAUGUUCUGUUAGAUUUGUGCGCGGAUUUGGCCCCUAAUCUGGAAAGGAAAACACGCUGUAAUCAUGCCAUAACCGUAUCUGUCCAAGUACUGGCCACUCGGAGAUUACUCGCUACUGGGACAUUCCAGAGGGAAAUGAGUGACAGGUCGGGCAUAUCACAGCCAUCAUUCAGCCACAUCCUGCCACAAGUGAUCGAAGCGACUCUACACUAUUGUCCAUGAGAUACAUUAGUUUCCCAUUUACAGCCGAUGAACAGGCGCAAGUCAAAGCAGAGUUUUUCCGCUCAUUUAAUUUCCCAGAGGUCAUUGGUGCAGUUGACUGCACGAAUAUUGCCUUACGCGCACCGUCUGCAGAUGAACAUGUAUAUCAUAACAUGAGGAAUUUCCAUUCAUUGAAUUUUCAGAUUUGCGAUGCCCGUACGCAACUACUCAAUGUAUGCUCCGAGUGGCCAGGGUCUACGCAUGACUCAUUCAUUCUGCGCCACCGCAGAGUAGGCCUGCAUCUAGAACCUGGUGAGAAUGGAGGCAGGUGGCUUCUCGGACUGAGGCGGUCAACAAGUGAACUGUAGACGUGGACAGACCCUCGACACCUGUGUCCAAACAUUGCCUGGCACCUGCUGGCACAAACACUCCUGGCACCUGCGGGUCUGCGACGCUUGGUAACGGAUGCAGACGUGGACGGAUGGACCCUCAAUAUCAGGGGCCAAACCUUCCCCCUCACUCCUGGCACCUGCUGAUUUGGGAGCCUCACGCACUUUAUCCCUGGGUGGAGGGCGCAUACUCACCCGGCGCACGGGCUGCAACACAGCUUCCCCCGUUUCAAUGUGAAUAAAAUAAAUCAGUGCAUGUCUUGUAUUUUAAGUUACUGACAACCAAGUUUCACAUUCUCUUAUUACUUACUGUGAUGCAGUCGUGGGGGUUUCGCGCGCCGACUUCACCGUUUCCGAUGUUACUGUUAAAUGAUGUAGAAGUUGGGAUUAAACCAUAUGCAAAAUAGAAUAAAUGUUUUUCUUUUUCUUACA